GGGCUUUUUGGUAAAUUCCCUUUUCUCAUAAUGUCCCAUUUUUAUAACUCUAGAACAUUCCAUCUUUCUUUAUUCUCAUCCUCCCAAUAUUUUAUUUUUGUAAAUUUUUCAUCCACAAUAUUCUAUUUUCGUCCAUACCACUAUCUACUUUGCUUCUAUUUUUCAAGUAAUAUAGCUAAUCUAUACAUAUAAUUUUUAAAUACAAAUCAUCCUUUUCCUCUUAAUAUUGCGGUGCUUUGACGUUUAUUUUAAAGCGUUGCUGACAUCGAUGAUGGCAAAAAUCUCAAGAACGAAUCGGCGAAGAAUCCAUCCCCUUAUUUCUAGAUGCAUAAAUGUUGCAUCAUUACUUUUGGCUUGAUCUCUGUUAAGAUGAUGCACAGAUCGUUGAAUUCGCCCUGACGAAAGGUGCCAGCCGGCAUAAACUUAUCUCCUACACGAUUACCAAAAAUUUUGUAAAAA
RNAcentral lists this long non-coding RNA (459 nucleotides) under Ananas comosus (pineapple). RNAcentral describes it as "long non-coding RNA (ACOM_LNC001831)". Lineage: Eukaryota; Viridiplantae; Streptophyta; Magnoliopsida; Poales; Bromeliaceae. The record is from RNAcentral.